UGUCAAGAGGACUCAUUAGCUUUGCUAAAGUUUCUAGCUGAACAAGGACAUAAAGUAAGUAAAAAGAAACUACAGCUUUGUAAAGAGACAGUAAAAUAUUUAGGUUAUUGUCUAUCAGCAGAGGGGCGACACUUAGAUGAAGAGAGAAAAACAGCUAUUUUACAAGCACCAAAAAGCAGAUGAGGAAGCUAAAAAAGCAGUGUGAACCCAUGUAGAUGCGUUUGCUGUAAACACAGUAAAAGUCACACACAUAGACCAUGAUAUCUUGAAAGAUAUGCAGACAACAUCGCCUAGAGCAAAACAUAACCCCCCCCCCCAUUUCAUUAGCUCUAGCAUUAGCAACUAGCUUGUUGGCAUUGUUCACUGAUGAAUGAUGAUAAUAAAAUGUAAAAAAGUGAGAACUUUCUAAAUGCACUGUAUGUGUAACUGAUUGAUCUGUCCAACAGCCAUCUCUAGUAUUCUUUCCCAACAGGUGCUUCCCACCAGGGAGUUUCUCUAGGAUGAAGUGUAAUUCAGUUUAUGUUCUUACAGCUGCUUUCACACCACUGCUGUGUCUGUACUAAAAUCACACACAAAUAUUAACAUUAACAUUUGAAACCUUUCUCUCUCUCUCUCUCUCUCUCUCUCUCCCUCUCUCCCUCCAGGUGACAAAGAAGCUCGCUGGUGCUGCUUCUGAAACAGUUGCCUGGGUUACCGAUGUUGGUGUGUUGGAUUGAUAACGCCACAUCUUGUCACAUUGAGGCAUAGCAUUCCCAGCUAGAGGGGAAGCGCGGGAUGCUCGGCCUGACUGGUGCCAAGGUGAUCCAGAGGAUCUCCUGGGAGGAGCGGAGGCUCCGCUGUUGGAGGAGGACACAUGGGGCAGAGGAGACGGUCCUCCUCAUCCAGGAUCUCCACGUCACCCUGGACGUCUCUUUGCUGGAUUCUCUCUGCAUCCAGGACAUAUGGAGACACAGAGAAGCCACCUCAGCUGCAUUCAGGGCCCACCAGGUGUGCAGCUGUACCUAGAGACUGGUAGACUGACAAAGGGCGGGGUCAGCCUUCCGACUUCCACCUUAACCAGUUCAUCCCAGGUACAUGCGUGUGUCUCUUUCAUGCAAACAUAAAAUUCAUUUUUGAUCCAAAACCUUUUUCCUCAAGCCAGUGCCAAGUACUUCCAAGCUCCUGGCAACACCUGCCAGACAAAGCAGGAGGAAUAGCGAGUUGUCUUCCCUCCCAGAUACCAGGAGAGGCAGCCCAGGUGACAGUUCAAGGCAGCAACGGGGAAGAACACCUCCUGUCCUGGGAAGGAGAGUCUCCAGAGCUGUCUUCUUGGACUAAACUCGGGCCCUGCAAACUAGGCCAGUGUUAGCCGCCUGGUGGAGGCCGUUUGCAACCGGCUCUGCUGUCUUCACCCGGUGGCCAAGUGGUCCAGAGGGACCGUGAGGACUCGGUGGUCAUUCGUUCUCAAGGAUUAUGUGGCCAUCAGAAAGGCAGUGCUGGCCGACCCGAGGUUGAUGGCUCAGACCAACAUCCGGCUCUUUGAAUUGAAUUGAGGACUCAGUGGUGCUGGCCAGACUCUCCCUUCAGCAAAAGUCCUGUCCUUGGUCCAGGUGGGACAAGGACAGCCCUUUAACUUCAAAGUCCCGGAGGAGCAGCCUGGGCCCUCCAGCAGGGGUCUGCCUCCUCCUCCUCCUCCUCCUCCUCCUCCUCCAGACGAUGAACAGCAUGGCCCCUCAUCCAGUGCUGUUGGUGCUGAGGAGGUCGUGGACAGUGGCUACUGCUGAAAAAGUACAUAUAUUCAAAGAUGACAAAGACGGUAACUGAAUCAUUAUUUUACUGCACAGUUCUUUUUUCUUUUCAAUUAUAUUCUGAAAUUGCGUUCACCAUGGCCUUGAAAAGCUCUUAAAAACUCUUCAACACCAAGAUGGAAGCACCUAUCUGUGCGAGCAGAUGUUUUCAAUCAUGAAUCUAAACAAGACCAAGAACAGAUCACACAUCACUGAUGACAACCUCCAUGCUGUUCUACGGAUUGCCUCUGCACAAGACCUAAAACCAGACAUUGAUACACUUGCCAUGGAAAAAAGGUGUCAGAUAUCUGGUCAGAAAAGACAUAGAACAUGAUCAAUGGAUGAGGAUGGUGGAGAGGGGAUCCAUGUGGUGUGAUAAAGGACAGGCAGCAUCUCCUCAUCAACUUCACCUUAAAACUUGACCAAUAUAGUUGUGAACUGAGACAACCCUUGUGUUAUUUUGAG
This is a long non-coding RNA of Seriola aureovittata, 2231 nucleotides long. RefSeq lists it as uncharacterized. The transcript is spliced from 4 exons. The record is from RefSeq and is a predicted model, not a curated record. NCBI's taxonomy places the organism in Eukaryota, Metazoa, Chordata, Actinopteri, Carangiformes, Carangidae.